ACACAUGCAAGUCGAACGGAGAUUACAGGCGGAAGUUUUCGGAUGGAAGCUUGUAAACUUAGUGGCGGACGGGUGAGUAACACGUGAGCAACCUGCCUAUCAGAGGGGGAUAACGAUUGGAAACGAUCGCUAAUACCGCAUGACAUAGCGGAAUCGCAUGGUUCUGUUAUCAAAGAUUUUAUCGCUGAUAGAUGGGCUCGCGUCCGAUUAGAUAGUUGGUGGGGUAACGGCCUACCAAGUCGACGAUCGGUAGCCGGACUGAGAGGUCGAACGGCCACAUUGGGACUGAGACACGGCCCAGACUCCUACGGGAGGCAGCAGUGGGGGAUAUUGCACAAUGGGGGAAACCCUGAUGCAGCGACGCCGCGUGAGGGAAGACGGUCCUCUGGAUUGUAAACCUCUGUCUUCGGGGACGAAACGGGACGGUACCCGAGGAGGAAGCCACGGCUAACUACGUGCCAGCAGCCGCGGUAAUACGUAGGUGGCAAGCGUUGUCCGGAAUUACUGGGUGUAAAGGGAGCGUAGGCGGGCAGGCAAGUCAGGCGUGAAAUAUAUCGGCUCAACCGGUAACGGCGCUUGAAACUGCAGGUCUUGAGUGAAGUAGAGGUUGGCGGAAUUCCUAGUGUAGCGGUGAAAUGCGUAGAUAUUAGGAGGAACACCAGUGGCGAAGGCGGCCAACUGGGCUUUUACUGACGCUGAGG
RNAcentral lists this ribosomal RNA (701 nucleotides) under uncultured bacterium. RNAcentral's name for it is "bacterial SSU rRNA". It matches the Rfam family "Bacterial small subunit ribosomal RNA", at positions 51 to 751 of the family's 1533-position model. The record is from RNAcentral.